GGCAGAUUAGGCAAGAGCAGUUGGAUUCACGCGGGACACAAACUGCUGUGGUUGAAAAUAUGAGCCCCUACAAUCAUCGUUGCCGUUGCUGCCGUUAACUUCAGAGACCUCAUUAUAAUCCGGACUCACCUGCAGAACCUCCGCGGAGCGUUGAUCCGGUACCGGAGCGGAAAAAACACCGGAGAGAUGAGAGAGAACAGAGGGAGCUGGAAUAAUGUUUGACAAUCUGGGAAAGAGUCAGAGAGAGAGAGAGAGCAGAAAUAAAACACAGCAGUGGAGGCCCUGAGCCAGAGGUGGCAGACCCCUGGUCUCUGUGAAGAUCCUCCACAGGUUCUAGGUGUUUCUUCAUCAACAACAAGAGGAACACAUUGAACCUGAUGAAUUCAGCUCAGGACAGAAAUGACUGGAAACAUCAUGGAGUCUGUGGCAUUUUA
Girardinichthys multiradiatus is the source of this 434-nucleotide long non-coding RNA. RefSeq lists it as uncharacterized. Lineage: Eukaryota; Metazoa; Chordata; Actinopteri; Cyprinodontiformes; Goodeidae. The record is from RefSeq and is a predicted model, not a curated record. The transcript has 3 exons.